GAUGAACGCUGACAGAAUGCUUAACACAUGCAAGUCUACUUGAUCCUUCGGGUGAAGGUGGCGGACGGGUGAGUAACGCGUAAAGAACUUGCCUUACAGACUGGGACAACAUUUGGAAACGAAUGCUAAUACCGGAUAUUAUGAUUGGGUCGCAUGAUCUGGUUAUGAAAGCUAUAUGCGCUGUGAGAGAGCUUUGCGUCCCAUUAGUUAGUUGGUGAGGUAACGGCUCACCAAGACGAUGAUGGGUAGCCGGCCUGAGAGGGUGAACGGCCACAAGGGGACUGAGACACGGCCCUU
Molecule: ribosomal RNA, 297 nt
Filed under: uncultured bacterium
Lineage: Bacteria
Description: partial 16S ribosomal RNA
Rfam family: Bacterial small subunit ribosomal RNA
Source: RNAcentral